CCGAAGACCUACCCUGUUUUGCGAAUAUACUUCAUCAAUCCUUCCCUAGAGUUUAUCAUCCUGCUGCUCGUGACAGCAUUGAUAUUUUCAAGAGAAGGAAUAAUUGGAAUAUUGUUUAUUCAACGGGAAAAACAAACGGUUCUUAUCAACUGAAUAAUAGGUACUUUGUGGGUAUGUUAUUCCCUAACCGAUAUAACGAUCCAGUUCGUUCCCGGUCUCGAUAGCCUUGCAAUAACACAGUUCAAUCGUAUUGAAAUAUCGAAGCGCAUAUUCGACCGAAACAAUGUCUAUUUUUGCCGGUAUAUUUGUCUUAUUAUCAAUGGUCGUGGCAGCCCUGGCCUGUGGACUGGGUGUAUACGACAUAACAAAUGCCCGAUAGGCAUGGUGGUUGGAACUGAGAGAAUGGACAGAAGGGACAAGAAAUCAUCAACAUAUUUCCCGAGAAAAUUUUUUCAGAUGUUGGAUAAAUACAUAUAAAUAAAUAAAAUGGUAUAAACCCAUAUAAACUUCUCACUCUAAGGGUGAUUCCUGAAGAUUUCCAUAAAAUAUGACGUUGUAUAUAACCUAUAUCCACA
Molecule: long non-coding RNA, 575 nt
Organism: Coccinella septempunctata (seven-spotted ladybird)
Lineage: Eukaryota; Metazoa; Arthropoda; Insecta; Coleoptera; Coccinellidae
Exons: 2
Source: RefSeq, a predicted model, not a curated record